This is an RNA transcript of Zea mays, 1121 nucleotides long. RefSeq lists it as uncharacterized. The transcript has 5 exons. NCBI's taxonomy places the organism in Eukaryota, Viridiplantae, Streptophyta, Magnoliopsida, Poales, Poaceae. The record is from RefSeq and is marked validated.
UUGUAAAAUGAAGCCCAUGUUGGAGCAUGUUUUUUAUAGUAGAGUCCUAUAUUUCAAAAUAGAACCUCGUUUAGGGCUCCAAUUGAAGAUGCUCUUAGUGCGCCAGUACAUCAAGGUCCGUGCAUUAUUCUCAAGUUGGGCUCAGCCCAUGUAGGAGGAGCAUUCCAUCCGGGCCCACUUGUCAUCGGACCGAGUGGCGUCUUCCUCUUCCCUUCGUAACCUUCCAGACCCGACCGCAGCAGCCCGGGGCAACAAGCGAACCGGCGGCGUCAUCGGACCGAGUGGCGUCUUCCUCCUCCCUUCGUAACCUUCCAGACCCGACCGCAGCAGCCCGGGGCAACAAGCGAACCGGCGGCAGCGAUGGGGAUCGGUGAGCACUUCGAGGGCGUCAAGCAGCACUGGGCGAGCAACUUCGCCUUCCUCGACUACUUCAAGAAGGUCUACGGCCGCGCCGAGCCCCUCCCCAAGUGGUCCGACGCCGACGUCGACGAGUUCAUCGCCUCCGACCCGGUCUACGGGCCCCAGCUCAAGGCCCUGCGGGAGUCGAGGAAGUUCGCGCUCGCCGGGGCCCUCGUCGGCGCCGCCCACCUCGGCGGCGUCGCGCUCAAGUACUCCAAGGCGCCGCACGGCGUCCUGCUGGCGACGGGCUUCGGCGCGAUCACCGGCGCCGUGCUGGGAUCUGAGGUGGCGGACCACUGGUACCAGCUCUACGAGAUGGACAAGCAGGGGGCCAACCUCAGGUUCAUCUACUGGUGGGAGGACAAGGUCUCAGGCCACCGUACAUAGUGAUCCUGGUGUUACCCAUGUAAUGGCACGAUAGUGUAUUCUCUUCAAAGUACAGGAUGGAGCUGUGAUAGCUUCAGCCAGAAGAGCUGAACCACAUCGAGUGAUGCCUAUUCUACUGAGCACACCAGCGUGACAACAAAACAUUGACGUCUCUCAUGCCGAGUUCUUAGUUUUUCUUUCCUAGUUUUCUCUAAUAAGUGUGGAAUUGGUUGAGGAAGCCAACUGGACAAUGCAUUUUUCAUCUCCGUCAUGGGUUAUGUUCAUCCAUGGUCAAUCUGGUGUAAACAGCAAAUCCUAUCCGUUUUCGAGAUAUGUUUUCUCAAACUACUGAUGGA